CGCCUCUUGACAAACAUAAGAGGUCCAGCCUGCCCAGUGACAAAGUUCAACGGCCGCGGUACCCUAACCGUGCGAAGGUAGCAUAAUCACUUGUUCUCUAAAUAAGGACUUGUAUCAACGGCACUACGAGGGUUAUACUGUCUCCUUUUUCCAAUCAGUGAAACUGAUCUCCCCGUGAAGAAGCGGGGAUCAAAAUAUAAGACGAGAAGACCCCAUGGAGCUUUAAACUCACUGUACACCUCUAUGUUCCUAUAUCCUUAUAACACAAGAAACCUGUACAUUAGUUUUAGGUUGGGGGGACCACGGAGUACAACUUAACCUCCAUAACAAAUGGGCUAACACCCUUAUCCACGAGACACAACUCUAAGAAUUAAUAGACUAAUGCUUAUGACCCGAUAUUCGAUCAAUGAACCAAGUUACCCUGGGGAUAACAGCGCAAUCUACUUCAAGAGCUCAUAUCGACAAGUAGGUUUACGACCUCGAUGUUGGAUCAGGGUAUCCCGGUGGUGCAACCGCUACCAAU
Molecule: ribosomal RNA, 523 nt
Filed under: Rana amurensis
Lineage: Eukaryota; Metazoa; Chordata; Amphibia; Anura; Ranidae
Description: partial 16S ribosomal RNA
Rfam family: Bacterial large subunit ribosomal RNA
Source: RNAcentral